RNAcentral lists this ribosomal RNA (496 nucleotides) under uncultured bacterium. Its description in RNAcentral is "bacterial SSU rRNA". It matches the Rfam family "Bacterial small subunit ribosomal RNA", at positions 30 to 518 of the family's 1533-position model. The record is from RNAcentral.
UGAACGCUAGCGACAGGCUAACACAUGCAAGUCGAGGGGCAGCAUAAAAGUAGCAAUACUUGGUCGGCGACCGGCGCACGGGUGAGUAACGCGUAUGCAACCUACCUAUCAGAGGGGAAUAACCCGGCGAAAGUCGGACUAAUACCGCAUAAAACAGGGGCACCGCAUGGUGAUAUUUGUUAAAGAAAUUCGCUGAUAGAUGGGCAUGCGUUCCAUUAGGUAGUUGGUGAGGUAACGGCUCACCAAGCCGACGAUGGAUAGGGGAACUGAGAGGUUGGUCCCCCACACUGGUACUGAGACACGGACCAGACUCCUACGGGAGGCAGCAGUGAGGAAUAUUGGUCAAUGGGCGGGAGCCUGAACCAGCCAAGUCGCGUGAAAGGAAGAAGGAUCUAUGGUUCGUAAACUUCUUUUGCAGGGGAAUAAAGUGCAGGACGUGUCCUGUUUUGUAUGUACCCUGAGAAUAAGGAUCGGCUAACUCCGUGCCAGCCGCUGC